GGCAAAGUAUUUCUACAGGAAGAUUCAUGUUAAUCAGUGACACCUAAUUUCAGCAUAGGUGGCUUGGAGAGCCAUUUUCCUUUUCCCACAUAAUCUCUUCUCUUCCCUUGCCAGGGUUCGUGUGAGCCAGGAUGGGCAGUUUCUGCACUACAUCUUUCCAUACCAGUUCAUGGACUCUCCUGAGUGGGAAUCACUACAGCCUUCUGAGGAGGGGGUGUUCCAGGUCACUCUGACUGCUGAGACCUCAUGUAGCUACAUAUCCUGGCCCCGGAAAAGCCUCCAUCUUCUUCUGACCAAAGAGCGAUACAUCUCCUGCCUCUUCUCGGCUCUGCUGGGUUAUGACAUCUCGGAGAAGCUCUACACUCUCAAUGAAAAGCUCUUUGCUAAGUUUGGGCUGCGCUUUGACAUCCGCCUUCCCAGCCUUUACCAUGUCCUGGGUCCCACUGCUGCAGAUGCUGGACCAGAGUCCGAGAAGGGUGAUGAGGAAGUCUG
This 492-nucleotide small RNA is filed under the name Pongo abelii (Sumatran orangutan). Its description in RNAcentral is "retained intron". The record is from RNAcentral. Lineage: Eukaryota; Metazoa; Chordata; Mammalia; Primates; Hominidae.